Spirochaeta sp. is the source of this 73-nucleotide non-coding RNA. The record is from Rfam. Lineage: Bacteria; Pseudomonadati; Spirochaetota; Spirochaetia; Spirochaetales; Spirochaetaceae.
GCCGAGGUAGCUCAGUCGGUAGAGCAGGGGACUGAAAAUCCCCGUGUCGGCAGUUCGAUUCUGUCCCUCGGCA